AGAGUUUGAUCAUGGCUCAGAAUGAACGCUAGCGAUAUGCUUAACACAUGCAAGUUGAACGUUGUUUUCGAAGAAAAAUGAAAACAAAGUGGCGAACGGGUGCGUAACACGUAGGAAUCUGCCAAACAGUUUGGGCCAAAUCCUGAAUGAAUAAAAGCUAAAAAGCGCUGUUUGAUGAGCCCACGUAGUAUUAGGUAGUUGGUUAGGUAAAAGCUGACCAAGCCUACGAUGCUUAGCUGGUCUUUUCGGAUGAUCAGCCACACUGGGACUGAGACACGGCCCAGACUCCUACGGGAGGCAGCAGCAAGGAAUCUUCCGCAAUGGGCGAAAGCCUGACGGAGCAACGCCGCGUGCGGGAUGACGCCCUUCGGGGUGUAAACCGCUUUUCUCUGGGAAGAAAGUUGUGAAAGCAACCUGACGGUACCAGAGGAAUCAGCAUCGGCUAACUCCGUGCCAGCAGCCGCGGUAAUACGGAGGAUGCAAGCGUUAUCCGGAAUAAUUGGGCGUAAAGCGUCCGUAGGUGGUCAUUCAAGUCUGCCGUUAAAGAGUGGGGCUUAACCCCACAAAGGCGGUGGAAACUGAAAGACUAGAGUGCAGUAGGGGUAGAGGGAAUUCCCGGUGUAGCGGUGAAAUGCGUAGAGAUCGGGAAGAACACCGGUGGCGAAAGCGCUCUGCUGGACUGCAACUGACACUGAGGGACGAAAGCUAGGGGAGCGAAUGGGAUUAGAUACCCCAGUAGUCC
This 742-nucleotide ribosomal RNA is filed under the name uncultured cyanobacterium. RNAcentral describes it as "bacterial SSU rRNA". It matches the Rfam family "Bacterial small subunit ribosomal RNA", at positions 8 to 796 of the family's 1533-position model. Lineage: Bacteria; Bacillati; Cyanobacteriota. The record is from RNAcentral.